RNAcentral lists this ribosomal RNA (397 nucleotides) under uncultured bacterium. RNAcentral describes it as "partial 16S ribosomal RNA". It matches the Rfam family "Bacterial small subunit ribosomal RNA", at positions 523 to 918 of the family's 1533-position model. The record is from RNAcentral.
AUACGUGGGGGGCGAGCGUUGUCCGGAAUGAUUGGGCGUAAAGGGCGCGUAGGCGGCCCGGUAAGUCUGGAGUGAAAGUCCUGUUUUUAAGAUGGGAAUUGCUUUGGAUACUGUCGGGCUUGAGUGCAGGAGAGGUAAGUGGAAUUCCCAGUGUAGCGGUGAAAUGCGUAGAGAUUGGGAGGAACACCAGUGGCGAAGGCGACUUACUGGACUGUAACUGACGCUGAGGCGCGAAAGUGUGGGGAGCAAACAGGAUUAGAUACCCUGGUAGUCCACACUGUAAACGAUGAAUGCUAGGUGUAGGGGGUAUCGACCCCUUCUGUGCCGCAGUCAACACAAUAAGCAUUCCGCCUGGGGAGUACGGCCGCAAGGUUGAAACUCAAAUGAAUUGACGGGG